Molecule: ribosomal RNA, 464 nt
Filed under: uncultured bacterium
Lineage: Bacteria
Description: bacterial SSU rRNA
Rfam family: Bacterial small subunit ribosomal RNA
Source: RNAcentral
GCCAGACUCCUACGGGAGGCAGCAGUGAGGAAUAUUGGUCAAUGGGCGAGAGCCUGAACCAGCCAAGUCGCGUGAGGGAGUACUGCCCUAUGGGUUGUAAACCUCUUUUGUCGGGGAGCAAAAGCCGGACGUGUCCGUCUGUGAGAGUACCCGAAGAAAAAGCAUCGGCUAACUCCGUGCCAGCAGCCGCGGUAAUACGGAGGAUGCGAGCGUUAUCCGGAUUUAUUGGGUUUAAAGGGUGCGUAGGCGGUCCAUUAAGUCAGGGGUAAAAUUGGGGGGCUCAACCCCGUCGAGCCGUUGAAACUGGCAGACUUGAGUUGGCGAGAAGUACGCGGAAUGCGCGGUGUAGCGGUGAAAUGCAUAGAUAUCGCGCAGAACUCCGAUUGCGAAGGCAGCGUACCGGCGCCAGACUGACGCUGAGGCACGAAAGCGUGGGGAUCGAACAGGAUUAGAUACCCUCGUAA